UGCAAGUCGAACGCACAGCGAUAGGUGCUUGCACCUUUCAAAGUGAGUGGCGAACGGGUGUAGUAACACGUGGACAACCUGCCUCAAGGCUGGGGAUAACAUUUGGAAACAGAUGCUAAUACCGAAUAAAACUUAGUGUCGCAUGACACAAAGUUAAAAGGCGCUUCGGCGUCACCUAGAGAUGGAUCCGCGGUGCAUUAGUUAGUUGGUGGGGUAAAGGCCUACCAAGACAAUGAUGCAUAGCCGAGUUGAGAGACUGAUCGGCCACAUUGGGACUGAGACACGGCCCAAACUCCUACGGGAGGCUGCAGUAGGGAAUCUUCCACAAUGGGCGAAAGCCUGAUGGAGCAACGCCGCGUGUGUGAUGAAGGCUUUCGGGUCGUAAAGCACUGUUGUAUGGGAAGAACAGCUAGAAUAGGAAAUGAUUUUAGUUUGACGGUACCAUACCAGAAAGGGACGGCUAAAUACGUGCCAGCAGCCGCGGUAAUACGUAUGUCCCGAGCGUUAUCCGGAUUUAUUGGGCGUAAAGCGAGCGCAGACGGUUUAUUAAGUCUGAUGUGAAAGCCCGGAGCUCAACUCCGGAAUGGCAUUGGAAACUGGUUAACUUGAGUGCAGUAGAGGUAAGUGGAACUCCAUGUGUAGCGGUGGAAUGCGUAGAUAUAUGGAAGAACACCAGUGGCGAAGGCGGCUUACUGGACUGCAACUGACGUUGAGGCUCGAAAGUGUGGGUAGCAAACAGGAUUAGAUACCCUGGUAGUCCACACCGUAAACGAUGAACACUAGGUGUUAGGAGGUUUCCGCCUCUUAGUGCCGAAGCUAACGCAUUAAGUGUUCCGCCUGGGGAGUACGACCGCAAGGUU
Molecule: ribosomal RNA, 860 nt
Filed under: Leuconostoc mesenteroides
Lineage: Bacteria; Bacillati; Bacillota; Bacilli; Lactobacillales; Lactobacillaceae
Description: bacterial SSU rRNA
Rfam family: Bacterial small subunit ribosomal RNA
Source: RNAcentral